RNAcentral lists this long non-coding RNA (19086 nucleotides) under Medicago truncatula (barrel medic). RNAcentral's name for it is "long non-coding RNA (MTRU_LNC007382)". The record is from RNAcentral. Lineage: Eukaryota; Viridiplantae; Streptophyta; Magnoliopsida; Fabales; Fabaceae.
UGAGUUUGAGGUUACAUUGGAGUCUCUUACUAGUCCAUUUCUAAUCCUUUUUAGCCAGUUUCCUUCUAUCCCAUUGAAGCAGUUGUACCAAUUGCAACAGUCUUAAGGCCAUUAGUUGGAGUGCUAAGUGCUGCUUUGCCUAUCUAUUCUGCGACUUUUUUCUUACAUCCAGUGCUACAUCUAGAGGUCCAGUCCCUGGGUCAUUUGAUAUCUCUAGUCUGAGUUCCGUUCAACAAGCCAGUUCUGUUAGAUCGCUUACAGUCCCCGUAGUGUCCAGUAGCUGUCUCUUUUUCUUACCGGCAAGCGGGCUUAGAAAAAAAAGUUAAGAUAUCUCCAUCCGGUGGGAGUUGCUAUCCAUAUAGUUCAAUGGCAGUUCUACUUGCAGCCAUUGAGAGUUCUCUUGCAUCCGCUUUCCAUCCAGCAGAGUAAGGGGCAAAAGGAUCUGACGCAAGUUGGAGCUAAGGAUCGACAGAAAGCUAGGGUUUUUCGUGCUUCUCCCUUCUUAUCCGGAACUAAGGAGUUAACGAUAUAUCGCUUAAGGAGAUAUCUAGCCAAGCGAUUCACCUGAUCCAGACACGCCAAUAGGCGGCUUUGAAGAUAGUAAGUAAGAGUAGUGGCAUUCUCAUCAAAAGGAUAAGUAAGUUCGCAAUCCAGUGAUAAAGUGAAAAAAGGUGCUUUUUUCUGCGCAUAUUCCCAGGUUAGGAUAUGCAUAUAAUAUUAUAGGUUACAGUUUCUAAUCUAUAGGAUUUAUUCUGGCUUCUGUAGGACUACUAACUAGACUAUUCUCUCCGCUAAAAACGUAGGAAGGAAAUCUGUGCGAAGGCUUUCUGCGGGUAAGGCAAAGGUAGAUGUAAGAUUGCGAUAUGUGUCUUACCUUGGUAAUUCGUUUAUUUACCUAGUGGGUCUAACUAUAUUUUAUGUCUAAGGAAGAGGAGAAUCGCCCUAAAGAGCCUGCCUAUAUCGGAGGAGUCUCCGGUACUGUACUGAUUUCCUUGUUUUCGCUUCUGGGCUUAACCAAGCCAGGGCGAAUAAGGGAUGCAUUCAUUUUCAUUUGAGUGUAAACCCUUAAGAGCCGUCGGCCAUAAGACUUUGGGCAUCAAGAGUGCUCCAGUAGCAUUGGUGGAACAAUCGAAAGACCAUUUUGAGGAUUGGGAAAAACCUACAUAUGGAAGAUGAUAUGCCACAAGAAUCCCCCAAGAUGACAACAGAUUAAGACCUAGGAUCAAUGCCCCCAAAACAGUCCCUGAACUACCGCCUUCCAAUUUCCAUUCCCGGAUCACAGAAGGCAGACUAAUCAACCAGGUCUGGUCUUACCUAGGAAGGACACCUCUCCUAUUUAAGUCAUACCUCGUCCCAGAAGUAGAGAGGAGUCCAUCUCAAUCAAAAGGAAAAGAAAGAUGUACUACCUUCACUCUUUCAGAACCUCUCCUACUAAGUCGUACACCUUUUGCCCAAAUCCCUUCGCUAUUGAGCAGAUAGAGUCAGACUUUCUUCGUAAGGAAUCGGACUAAGAGGAUUUCAAUUCCAUUUCCAUAGAGCAGAUCCAGUAAGACAGUAGACUUUCGUGCUCUUUCUAUCUAUUUACAAUGACUGAGAGUUGCUCAAGCGAGCAGGCACGUAUAGGGCAGCGCCUUCUACCUUCCGAAAAUAGGAAAAGACCAGUCCUUCUACAUCUCAAGGGCAUGCCCUAUAGACCUAGUCUAUCGGCUAUAGCUGCAGCUAUGACUGACCAAUAAAUUGAAAGCUCUAACUAAAAAAGAAGUCCCAGGGCUUAUUCCCUUUUCAAGGUCUUGUAGCCAGACUGAUCCAGUCAUCUAUAUCUCGUUUCGCCCCUUUGGCUCUCUUGCUUAGUAUCCCAGUCCAAGAUCUUAUUGAAAGAGCCACAGCUUCUUCAAAUUCAAUAGCAAAGGAUAUUCACCCGGCUACUCAAUCUUCUCUCUUUCACUCCUUCAAGGCCUCUUUCAAGCUAAGAAGACUCCUUUCAAGGUUAUCCUUAUUCUUAUCUGCAGAUCGGAGUCGUUCACUUCUCUGUCGAAAGAGCGUAUUCUUUUAUUGCAGCUAAUUACAAAUCUCAAUCAGUCUUGUCUGUACACCAAUCCCAAUGGCUAAUUCGGCUCUUAAGCCUGGAACUCAAUCAAAAAUAAAUUAUCUUUUGUCGAAAUAAACUCUCCCCCGCCCAAUCUUUACAUUAGUGGGCGGACACCGCCCCAAUCCUAAAAAAGGAACGAAUCUUUCAAUUGCAGUCGACCACAAGAUAAAGAAAGCGAUUGAAGCAAGCAUGAGUAGUAUCCCCCCUCCUUCGUUGUGGGUCCCCCUCCCUUAAUUAUUUAUAAUAUCUCUUUGGCUAUCAACUCAAAGAGUAAAGCGGUGGUAAGAUAUGGAGGUUUUUAUCCCUCUCAGAGCUUUGAACUGACCGGCCUAUGAUAAUUUAGGGGGAAUUUAUAUAAAUAGCUGGUGCGCUUGUUUGCGUCCAAUCCGGAUGUGAAGUCCUUACUUGCAGCCCUAGGUAAGGCGCGGGUUUAGUCUUCCAAGUAAAGGUUACGAAGUAAAUGGACUUAUUUUGAUGGACUUACUUUCACUAUGCAUUCAUUCGUGCACUAUCUAAGAUCCGAUUCUCUAGCAACCUAUUUUUAAUAUUGAUUCAUCUUCCCAUCCUCUUCUUUCUAUCUCCGUAGUCAGUCUGGCUGCAUACUCCUUCUGGAUGAGUUCUGUGGCAAGCUGACGGAUUCUGCAACUUCUUAUCUUCCGAAAUAAGUUUUUAUUCUAAGAGCGGAUAUUUCAAAGAGAGCACCGGAUCUUGCAUGAAUGUGCACAUCCGAUUUGUUCACAUCUUGAAUAUGACCCUUUGCCAUAGACCAAUUGCCAGAGAUUGGCUAGCAUGAGGACAGAAAGGCUAAAAAGAGGUGGGACCUAGUUGAUUCUGCACUCCCUACCUUAAGAGGGGCAUAGCGUUUGCUAAAGGAAUGCUUACCGAGAAGCUUCCCUGGUCACGAGCGAAGGGGGAAAAGAAAUAGACUAUAAAGCACAGACAGCAUACGAGAUAAAGAUCUGAUUUGCUGGAACUGGAAAGAAAGAUCCUCUUUGCGGAAUCAAAGAGAAGAGCGGGGAAGACGGGAUAUUAGUUAAAAGAAAGAAGGUAUGAAAUCCUUAGCUCCACCACGUGUUAAGCAUACGAGAAUUGAGACUGCUACCAGCCCCGGGAAUUCCAUAGCUGUUAGCUCUGACCCCAUCCAAGGUACCUUGAAAUGACUAGGAGCUCGCAUGAACCCAUAUCAACCCAUCUUCAAUCAAGAGAACCGGAACUAGCUGGAAGAGAAAAAGAAGUAGAUUAGGACUGCCUUUUAGCAUUAGCUGGCAGGGAACUCAGAGAGAGUUCGGCAGGAAGGGAAGGAAAUCUUCAACUUAAACUUAAACUCGCGUAAAGGGAGAAAGAAAAGAACUGGAAAUGCAUAGGACGAUUAAAUUAUGAAUGAAAAUCGCAACUACUGGUACAAUAGAUACAUACCGGUACUACUGGCCCACUAUCGCUAGACGGAAUGACACUAGCACUCUUAGCUCUUUAGCUAUUACGCUUGGUAGUAAGGCGAGGAAUGAUAGCAAGACUUUUCUUAUUUUUUUACUGUAUAAUCCCAAUCUAUCCGGGUGAUCGAAGGCGUAUCGCGAUCGACAAGAAAUGGUUCGGCACAAUGUGGAACCUGACGUUGCUGAUAUGAUAUAAGAGUGAUAACCGGAGAAGAUGGUCGUCAACGGCGAAGACCGUCAUAUUGUAUUGUUAAGAGUCACAAGCUCGGCGUACUUCACCUUCAUAGCGAGGGCUAGGAUGCUGAAGCCAUUGUUACGGAGCCGGAGCAUGGCAUCUCUGAGCAUCAGGCGCAUUAUAGCAGGCUGCACCGAGCCGGAAGUCUUGAUAUGUUGACCAGAAUGAUGAUCUGGAUGGAACGGGAACGAGAGCGAGGUCAUCCUCUCCACGUCGCAAUAAAACGGAGAGAGCGGAGAGAUGAAACCUUGAAGGCCAUGAAUAACCACCAUGCCGUUGUUGAAGAGAUCAGGUUGCGUGAUCUCCACCCCUCCCGAUAAAGACCUUAGCACUAGCAGUUGUGCUGGUCUUUCUAUUGACCGAAUCAGAGGUGAGGGGGAUGCAACGGCCUGGACUCAAGGUCUCGAUCUUGGUACCUCUCCGCAUAUAAUCAAUUGUGAAGAGACCUGGAAGUGCUCACGAAGGAGGUUAGAGAAAGAGCAAGAGAAGCAGGUGCAGAGGGAGGCAUCUGAUGGAGCGAAGAUCGUAGAAGGACCGGUCCAGGCAGAGGCAGCGGUGGCCGCGGAGUCAGAGAGUGAAGGAGCCGCCGUGGCUAGCUCGUGGAAGCCGAGAUGGGACAAGAUCGGGGGGAGGAGUGCUGUGUGAGAGAAGAACGAGUGUUCUUGGAGUUCUUGUGGAGUCGACGGUGUAGUUGCCGUUGUGGAAGGUGUGAAGCUUGCUUCCAGUCCUUCAAUGGCGGUCACCCUCGGGUUGCAGAGCAUUGCGAGGAUCGAGAUUGCGAAGAGCACUGUGAAUCGCAAAGAGAUGUCCAUGGCGGAGAGAGAAGAGUGAGAAGGCCAGUAAGAGAAGGGUUUCCUUCAGAGAGAAUGCAAAUAAAAAUGAAAGAAAUGAGGAGGUAGAGGUAUUUAUGCGCGAAACUAUGAGUGAGGGAGCGGUUUAGAGGCGGUGGUUAGAGAACGAUCACGUGCGCGUGAAAGGAGCGUGGAACAGGAAUCGGCGAAGCAUGACUGUUGCGUGGUUGUUAGAACGUUCUUGAAUCUUAUUUCAGUUAUAUUUGGCGGGAAAUGUGAAACGGAACGGACAAGUUUGUAAUUUUCUUAAUUCAAUCGGAAAAUUGUUACAAGGCUCGGGAGGGCCAGGAUUCAUCACUCCAACUUAUGAUGAGUCAGGCCGCAAUGCUGCGAAUUUCCGAGCCCUGUUAUACCGGGUAAAGAAAGCCUCAACCAGAACUAAAUGUGCCACGGGAAACAGAAUUCUUGGCCCUCUCCUAUUCUAUAUAAAGGUCCAUCAUAGGGCCCAGAAAGACAGCCGAUAAGUCAAUUUUCCUAAGGUGACAAAGAGUGGGCGGGCCCAACAUAGAACCCCAAGCAAUCUAACAAGCACACGCAGUCACAUAAGACAGGGUUUUCCCACGGUAAAUUUCUAAGCUAUCUAGUAUGGUAGGACUUUCUUUGAUGGUUCAUGUAGGCUUGGGUCUUUCAUUCGGGCCCUAUUGGGUGGGGCACCUUGUGGGCCAGCCAAUGCGUAUAAGCUUGGGCUUUCUUAACGUGGCUCAUUUGACGACUCAGUACAUGGAUGUCACGAGUCUAUUGGCAUAGAAUAUCGAAUCUUUUCCACGUAAGCUGGUUGUACAAAGUUUGUUUGUUCAUACAGGCAGUGUGAUUGGGGGAGAUUUUGUUUGCUCCGCAAGGUAGCCAGAGCCAGCCAGUUUUUCAUUAAACAGGCAUGAUAGUCUUCAACUGCAGAAAAGUAGUGCGGAGAACUAGCCAGAAUUGUGCCUGCCAUCAAAUUAGGUGACGCAUGGCGGGAUUCCUCUACCACUCUAUAAAUGGAGGCUCAAUAAGUGUCUUCUUCAUCAAAUUCAUUCAAAUCAAAGAAAUUUCGUAAUAGCAUAGCUAUGGGCAACUUCCAAAAGGCUUUCCGCAAUUGAUGCGGAAAUGCGUCAAAUACAACAGGCGAUUCAAAACCGCCGGAGAACUCUCAAUUUAUUUUUAAGGAAUAUUCGAGCGGUAGAUUCAGCUGCGGCAGACGAACGCAUUCGCACUUCCGCAGCAAACAUAAGGAAUUUGGAGCUAAGGCUGGAAGUGCUGCGGAAGGAGCAGCUCGAACUCAUUUCGGAGGCUGUGUCCCGGCUGUCACACUCGGUGACAGGCAGGGAAGACUAGAAAAAAGAAGUAGUUCCUUAUAUUUCGUGAUUUUUCAGUCCCGAUGGGAAUAAGCAGCUGAUGAGAGAAUCGCGCGAAGGUAGCGCCCGGAAACUUAGAAAGAAAAUGUCUGUCUAUAUCAUCUAAAAAGAAGUUCAAUAAAAUGGAAUGAAGAAAUCGGACGGGAGGUAUUCCUCCCUUUAAUAUGUUUUUCCCAGCCUUGUUCAGUACCGGCGAAUGCAGAAAGUUUUCGAUUAGAUUUAGAAUGAAUUGAUCCUCGAUAAGAGGCUUGAUUUUGUCCAGAAGCCGCUUUAUACAAAGAAUAUGACUAUAAAUAGAGAAAUCUAUAACAAAUAGGAGUCUCAGAUUGGACCAACUUCUUAUCUCAGCCACAAAAAGCGUAUCGGUCUGGCCGGGGAAUGACUGCUCAAGAAAGACAUUUUGAGUAAAAACGUACUGAUUUAGUAGAUUAGCGAGUGAGAUCAGAAUGAGCUCAUCUUCCAGUUUUAAAGUAAGAUAUAAAUGCCAAUAAUCGUCCUCGAGACUCUUGAACCUAUAAAAAGUAAGUUGGUCCAUCUUAAUAGGAAUGCGCUCUAGCUCUCUUAUGACCCAAAAAAAAGAAAGUUGAUACUUGCCAGUCAAAAUUUCCCGUUCCAGUCUAACGAUAUUUACCCUUUUGUAAAUAUAUAUAUAUUUAUCUAACAUUUCCCCCAUUUCGAGGAUAAGAUACUGGCGUAAAGGGAAAGUCGACAUGUCGUCCUAAAAAUGUAAGAUAAAUUCAAAUGUUAUAUAUAAGUGACCGAGAUGCAAGGGAAAAACUCUUGUUUUACAUUUCCACCUAUUUGUUCGUUUACCAGGUUAAGAACGAAAUCAUAAAUAAGCUCUACCAAGGAUUGCCAAGCAUUGGGUACUGACUUUCCUAACGAAGCUGGGAAAGCAGCAGUAAUUCUUUGGAAAAGCCCGGUUCUCUUUGUAUUCGAGCUUUCAUUCCUAAAUCCACUGUUUCGUUCCUUCAUAUACCUCCCCACCAAUAGAUAGAGACAAAUGGGAAUAACCGAACCACGUCUACAAAAUGCCAGUACCAUGCAGCUGCUUCAAAGCCAACGUGAUGCUCCUUGGUCAGAUGACCAAGAUAUUGGCGAAUACCACAUACGAUCAAGAAAAGAGUACCUAUAAUCACAUGAAAACCAUGAAAGCCAGUUGCUAAGAAAAAGGUAGAACCAUAAAUACUAUCCGAAAUAGUGAAGGGUGCUUGAUAAUAUUCCAUUCCUUGAAAGCCAGUGAAUACUAGAGCCAGUGAAACGGUUGCUACUAAAGCGUAAACUGCUCGUUUUUCCUUCCCCGCGAGUAUAGCGUGAUGAGCCCAAGUUACGGCUGCUCCGGAUGAAAGGAGAAUAGGGGUAUUAAGAAAUGGGAUUUCCCGAGGAUCUAAAACCCCAAUCCCUUUUGGGGGCCAAAUACCCCCGAUCUCUACCGUAGGUGCCAAAGAAGAAUGAGAAGAAGCCCGAAAAAAAGCAAAAAGGAACAUAACCUCCGAUACGAUGAACGGAAUAGAACCAUAUCGAGGUCCUAAUUGUACUACUUUGGUAUGAUGUCCUUCCAACGUGGAUUCACGUAGAACAUCGCGCCACCAUACAAACAUGGUAUAUAGGAUAAAUAUUAGGCCCAAACUGAGAAGUGUUGCACCCCCUUGAAAUGAGUGCAUGUACAUCACACCUCCUACGGUGGUUGCCAAAGCUCCGAGUGAACCCGAAAUAGGCCAUGGACUUGGAUCUACCAAAUGAUAAGAAUGCCUCUGAGAUUCAAUCAUAAACCACUUUGCCUCGGUUGUAUGUAAACCCCCCCUUCACCCCCACCCCCUAAAGUGGUAAAGAAGGGCUCUUUUGGGUCUUCUUAUAUUUCUAUCUGACAGGACAAAGAAAUAGGAAGGGAUGGUUCUUUCAUUGCAUUGAUAGAAGUCUAACUAGAAAAAGAUCUCUCUAUAACUUUGAGAAGAGAAUCGUUGGUUUGACCGACGAACUACGUGGGAAAAUGGACCUUCUUUCCUUUCUUUGAUUUUCAGCAAGCAUUUUUUGAAAGUAACAAUUCUAUUUAUGAAGUUUGGUUUAGGAAAACUUGCUAGUCGCGGAUUAGUGCGUUCUGCGCCGCCGGCGGCGCAGGUUGAUCUCUCUGGUUGAGGCUGCAUUCUUUUAUUCAACUUUACACGUGGGAAGGGCUUACUCUCCUAGUGGCUCGGCUUGGUCUCGCUCCCUUCCUGCACUAUUCCUCCCCACUAAAAAGUGCGAUUGAUAAUCUCGAUACGAUAACCUUUCUUUCUGAACGCAAGACUACCCCUCUUCCCGAAAGCUUCGCGGGGCGAUUUGAAAUGGCCAUACUGUACUGGUUGGACGAUGGCACAGUACGCAGGACCCUCGUAUGAAACCCCACCGAGCUUCCUUGCACUAUGUGGAACGGACUAUUCUCGGAUUGGACACGCCUAUAGCUAAAGGAACGUACAGCGAGCCGUAGCGGGAGGGAGGCCAAUGUCCCGUCAGAUACCACGGCCCACGUUCAAGCUCUAAACCGUCAAGAAGAAAGGAGACUUUUAGGGGAGGCACAUAUGAGAAGUGAAACGUGGCUUUCAAAGUAAUAAGAUAGCUGUCUGCUAUGCGUUUAAGGGCAUAAGGUACGAAGUUAGUCGUACGAAGUCCCUCUCCUGUAACUCGAGUGACAACCAAAUCUUGACUAGCAUAUCCGCCUCUCACUUCGCUCCUCUCCUGUAACUCUCGCGGCUUAACGCUCGAGUGAGUACACCCCUGUAGCUUCGCAACAGAUCAAUAUGAAUGAGGAUUCCUUGUUCCUGUUGAGAAUCUUGGAUCAUGGCCUAAACCUCUCUUUGCUUGUUGAUGAAGAAAUCUAUCAAGAAGGAUGAAUAGGACUAGCCUUUAUUUUAUUUGCUUUCCCCUUACCCAUAAACAUACAACUCAAAGCAAGUGAGCAGCUUGGGAUAGAAAGAUUCCAAGAGCUUAGUGAAAAGGAUAGUAGUCACUAGAUAUAAGCUAUAGGAUGGACUUGGGGAUAGCCUAUAUAUAAGGUCAGGUCGGUUCCCGCACAAUCCCCUGAUGGAGGGGGUAUACCGGUGCACCAACCGAGGUCAAAUUUCUUCUACCCAAUCAGCAUGAAAAGGCAUUGAAGGGUGCAAGACUUCUAUCUUUCUGCCACUUCGUCUUGUACCUGUCCUUUUGGGACAGCCUCUCUCUUCAUCUUUUUCAUGGCCUUUCCUUUCAUCUUUCAAAACUCUCAUACCAUUAUGCGCCUUCCCCUUACUAGAUCCAAUAGGGCCACAAAGAAUGCUUUAAGAACAAUGCACGAACAAAACGAGUAUACGAAAGUUGACGGCAUGAACACCGAAUGAACAACUUUCUUCUUUUUAUCUAUAUAUGCUAUUUCUUUUUUUAUCUUUCAAAGGGUGCUCAAGGAGUCUAUAAAGGCAUAAAUCGAUAUAUGAAGCUGGGAACUUACCCAUCAUAACAAAUAGCCUUAGGUUGUUUAUUUCCUUAGAGUUUCUGUUUUUGUUCGGUUAGGCUAUCUAUAUUUACCUGGGAGAGGCAACUCUUCUAAUAGACACCGAUGCUAUUUUUCUACUACUAUUAUAUACUAUUAGAAUUAGAUCGACGAAAUUCAUUGUUUGUUUACACGUGGCUAGGUCGCUAAUUGAGAAGAACUACCGCUGAGAUGUCUCAGAGAGAGAGAGGCCGUCUUUCGUGUUUAAGAUGCCUUAAGUGAAGCGCAAAGCGAAAAAGGAAGUGGGAAAGCACCUUGUUUUGUUUGCCCUAUCACAGAGCCAUCGGUAUCCCUGAUAGAAAGAAUCAAACGUCGAAUGGUCCUGGGUACGAUCAUAGCUUCUGAACGUUCCCAUAGUAUAGUCUAGUUUGAGCACCUUUCGCUCAUCCCCCCCUUGAAAGCUGAACCUCGGGCCAUCAUAUAGCCCUUUGUCCUUUUCAGAAGUCUGUUUUCCGCUUUCACUAACACUAAGGAUACUUACCUGACAACAUAUAUUGCGGGAAAGGCACUCCAGCGGCAGCAGAUGGUUCAGCUUCAGUAUUAACUGAUCGGCCAAUAUUGAUGACACCCCAAGGGUGGGCAGGAAAUCCCCUAGUCAUUUAUCUUGAUUCACCUGCCCAACUCUACAAAUUGGAAGAGUCAGACUGGGAAUAAGGGAAGAGGAUUCUUCAUAAUCUAUUUAGUAAUGUCCAAAAACCCGUUAACGGGUUAAGGUCAGUAGUCUUUACUCGGAGUAGUCACUAGGAGAAAGAAAUAGCUAUGAACUCAUCUACUACACUGGGUAUAUGGGAACUAGGACUGAAAUGAUAUAUGAUAUGGAUGGCUUUCGAGCCUGGAAAAGACCUGUCUUUUUCACAAGAUUGGUGAAACGCGGUGAAACCCUCCCCGUUGUAGAGGAAAAGAAAUUUGAUGAGUCCCUAAAAGGUUUUCUGAAAGUGGAUUUAUCCCGUACUAAACUACUUUCGUUCCUUAGCACAAGUACUAAAUGAUAUAAACCUUCUUGAAAACUCUAUUGCUUCAAAGAAAAAGAUUGGACAAGCAUAUAGAAAGGAAAGAACCAAGGCCGAAGAAUGGUGCAUUAGAUCCGGUAGCUACCGAGCGUAGAGUUAGGGCAGCUCAUGAACCGGCCGAAGGAGGGGUUGACUCUGCAGCAGGGCUUUGAGGAAUGGGAGCGGCUUUGGAAUCAGCUUAAGUAGAAGUGGGUCACCCCAUAUAAGUAAUAUGGGCAAGUACGCGAGAUGUAACCAAUAUCUUUCUAUUUUUCAACUCCAUCUUUCAGCUAAAUUGAAGCCCCUUAGUGCAAUCGAUUUCAGUAUGCCGGUUUAAUUUUAAGAUAAAGAGGGAGGCCCAAUGAGCACUACAGUAGUGCCCUAUUUAUAUGGGGUCGUAGAGCCGGUCAACGGGAGCUAAGAUCCUAUUCUUGCAUUCAUCUUAACUGCAGAUUUCUACUUCUUCUUACCGCAGAGGAGAACAAAUAAGAUAGAAGCCCAUAUUUAAACUAUACUUCCUAACUAGAGUAGUAAGAAGUCUUUUCAGAAGCAGUAGACUGGCUGAAUUGAUCGAACUUCUUGCUCUCAGCCUUGAGCUCAACCGGGAUGCUUGUUUUAUGAGGAUUAUUCUUUCGCGUAAGUCAGGGGAGUGUUGAGCCAGAGUAGAGAUGACCUUUUCAGCAUCGCUGUGAGAGUGAAUAAUUUCGCAUGCUGAAAUAGUUUAUUAGUGCUUCCCUUUGUUCUUGCAAGAGAUCAAGACUGGUAGGCAGGCUAAGGCCAGAGAUUCAAUGCCCGCCUCUCCUUAUCAGUCGAGUUACUUCAUAACCUCUUCUUCUUAUUCUAGUCGUCGUUACUCUCUCUAUAUUAGGUGUCGGCAUCACACAUAUCAUAUAGAUUUUGUGUAGUGAGUGAGAUUUCCCAAACUUAGGAAAGGAGUUAAUAAAAGAAGAGAGGCCAUCUGACUUGGUUAAGUCAUGUUAGUUGUGGUUAACAGCAGAACCAAAGCAGAAUGACUGACCCUGCAUCCAAAGAGGAAGGUGCAUACCUUUUUAUAUCCCAUAGCUUGCUGAGACCGGGUCCCCUCAGAUAUGACGAUAGGUACGUUCCUGCUGUUAAUAAUCUAGGUUUCCCUAUGGGCAUAUCCCUUAAAAUAGACAAUCACAAAAAAGCAAUAAAAUAGCUCGACUGUAAUCCGAGUAACGAAGACUGAUAAGCAUAAGGAUUGAGAAUUCAUGGGAUUGAUCAGGUCUCAAGACUGGGACGUCGCUUUUAGCGCACUUGACUUAUCUUAUUGCGUAUACAAUAAUAACUGAGCAUACUUUGCUAAUGGGCAGGUAAAUUCUGAGAAUCGUAGCGGCUACUUAUAUAACUAUUAUGUGAUUACUCCAUGUGUAACGGCCAAGCAAGAGGUGUUGUAUUCUAUUUAAUUAAACAGAUGAUUUCUUACAUUGAUAUACACAUCCUUCACCCAAUCCGCUCAAAGUAUUUUCAACUCUUUCAUGGUAUCAGAGCACUAGCUCUUGGGAAACGUUCACUUGGUUCGUGUGAAGUGUAGUCUUCAUACCUUGCUUGUUACGUCUUUUGCUAAAGCCCUUACUAAACCACCUGGAACUAGUCUGGUUUGAUAUAAGCCUUGCUACCACGGAAAGCAUAGUAAGAAGAGCUGAAAAGAUAGCCAUCUUACUCUCGGACCUUGUUUUAAUAAAGGAAGAACUUAAGCCUUUCUUAAUAAGAAAGAAAACCCUAAGAUGAGCUAACUUGGCUUAGUGCAGGAAAUGGCAAGAAGGGUAGGGCAUACCUUUUUUAGGAUUUCUACCCCCUUUCGAACUGAACUACCACGACUCUCGCUAACUGCAUCGGAUUCUGUGGAUAAAAGAAGACUAGCUGAAAGAGCUGAUUUGAUUACGAACCGCUACGCUUUCUUAUCUUAGUGUAGUGCGCCAACUGAAGCAAGGAAUAUGAGGAUCAGAGCGCUAGCAUCCCUUGCUCUCGAUCGAUUGCUCACCACCGAACAAAAAAAAGGAAGAGAACUGGGGACAGCUUUAGGUGUAAGCAUGAAGUACGCCCGAGCAAGCUAAAUUCUUUCUAUGUAGUAAUCGUGCUAGGCUAUGCCCCUGAACUGAACCCUUUGGUAUCCAGAAAGAAAAGCAGAGGAAGUGGCUUUGAUCCUAUUUUCUAUCAAAGCAGGUUCUACGGCCCAAUCCUACUACCCGGAUGAUCGUCUUGGGUAAGAUCUUUCUAUAUCAAAAUCUCAGUUGGAUGCCUACACGCGAUCCUUUUUUGCUUCCUUAUAUCGCCUAUAUAAAAAGUAUAAACAACUUAGACUUCUAUCAUAACACGGAUCACGCUGUAUAUAGAUUGGAUGUAUGUUAGAGCUAUCUUCUUUGUACCAUCUAGAGGGCUGUGAUUUCCCGGGGGCAGGACACGAAGAAGGAGGACUGGUUGGACUCUUUCUUCGGGGCUAUAUGUUAUAUUGAAGUGGACUGGCUAUUGUAGUAUUCGAUAGAAAGCAAGAAUCAACAGCAUUUGACUCGCUUGCAAGAGCUGAUUCUCUGUAGGCCUGCGCUUAUAUCACUACCACGAAUCCCCUUCUACAUGACCUACUUGAGUGAUAUCGUACUCACCAACCGAACUAGAAUGAGCCUACGAAAAGAAAGAAAAGGGGAUGAACGAAUAAGGGCAAGAGGGAAGAGUUUUCACUCGUGCUACUUAAUUGGCAGCAGAGGAAGAGUCUGUUAAGAAUUCGAGAUCUCGGGGUCGAGUCGAGGAAGUAAGAAUAGUCGAAGUCAAAGUGGAAAGAGAACCUAAUUUGAGUAUUAGGCACAUGCACUUGCUCUGGCUUCUUAAGAAAGAUUGAGACGACAAGCGGCACGUUUGAGCGGGUAGUAGAUAAAAUAGGAACUUCUUACCAGGGGGAAGAUCUGUUGACUUAUCGACCAGGCCUCCAUGAGGCUACAGUAAGACCGGACUGAGAUGAUGAAGCCAUUUACCCCCUAGCUACCUGAAUAACAGAUAAUCAGACUAUCGGGAGGAUGGAUUGGGGCUAACAAAAAGGCUAUCGCUCAUUUAUAGCAUACCAGCCUCUUAACUUCGCUUCUCGCUCUCCUAUAACUCUAAUCAAGAUGCUUUCCACAAGGGUAUGAAAGAUUUGGAUAAAGUCUCACUCUCGAUGGCAAGGCUGGGGAAGAUCGAUCUAAGGGGUGAACCUAUUUCCGGAUUCCUUCUAGUGCUUAAGGUGCGUAGCGCUUUUCACGCUUUCUUAAUUGCGCAAGAAUGAAUAUAUUAGUAAGCCAUGGAACUGAUUGAUCACAAAUAAGAAUAUACUUCAACCGGCCAUACAUAACAUAGAAAUAACACUUGGAAAGGGUGGAAAAUUAGCUAGAGCAGCAGGUGCUGUAGCGAAACUGAUUGCAAAAGAGGGGCUACAUUAAAAUUACCUUCUGGAGAGGUCCGUUUGAUAUCCAAAAACAGCUCAGCAACAGUCAGACAAGUAGGGAAUGUUGGAGUAAACCAGAAAAGUUUGGGCAGAGCCGGAGCGGCUAGGUAAGCGUCCUGUAGUAAGAGGAGUAGUUAUGAACCCCAUCCACAUGGUGUGGUGAAGGGUAGAAAGAAAGGCUUUUUAUCUACCAAUUGGGGCUAACCGAAGUCUUGGAUUUAUCGGUAGUGGUAUCCCUGUUAUCUUCCAUUACUUAGUGAGAGCUUAUCGAAUUGAUGUAAGGCAGGGAUACCAUGUAGGAGGCCUGAUCAUACACCUUAACUCACUAGAGCGAGCGCCUUGAAACGUCGGUGACUACCCUGUCGGUAGAGUGGCUUUCUCCUAGAGUGUAUAGCUCAUUCGAAGUUCGACCUCAUGAAACAUAGAGCUGUCAAAGUCCUCUCCUUCUAGUCGUUCUUACAGUCAAGUGACUGGUCGAGCUGAGGGUAAAUUUGCUAGUUUCUUAGAAGGCUUGACUUCUGUAGUCUAAUUCCGGGGAUUCUUUCAACUCAUGUUUGUUGGAAAAGACGGAGGGGUUGUGUUACUGAAUGGCUGCAACCUUUCAUUUGUUAUUCUUUUCCUUGGCCGUUAGGAUUGAGACUACGAUCUCCGGUUAACCACGUUCCAGCUAAAAGCUAGUCGAACUAGAGCCUGCCUUACGAGGGAGAAUUCCAACUGUUAACCAAAGCGCUGAUCUCUUCUUUCCUAGUGAGUCAUAUUCCACUUUGUCUGCUAUUCAAGUCUUCCCCUUUCUUGUCGGCAUAAGGACUGCCGCUCUUAAACUCCUGGCUCUGAAAAUCUCAAAAGAGAGAGUAGCCACCCUUCCUCCAAGACUUUAAUCGGGAAUUUAUCGCCUGCUGGUUUGAUUAGGCCUUUGUGCCUGGUAUGAACUAAAAAAUCCUUUCAUCCUAAUCCGCCUUUCCCUCGUCCCUCGUAGAAGACAAAUGUGAGGUAGGCCUAAAAGACCUGCUUUCCUCCUUCCAAUCCGGGAGUGAAUCUGUCUAGUUCUAUUUUGACUAAUCCGAAUCUGUGUACUGAGUAAAAGCGGAAUAUCCUCUCUCAAUUCUUGGCAGAGGGAAGCCCCAUGACCGACCAACCGAGGCAGGGGUAGAUAGAGGGGUAGAUAGAGGAAGAGAAGAUUUAUUGAAUGCUCUCGGGCAUUGAUUGAGGUAGUCAAAAAUUAUGCUUCACUCGGAUCUUCUUUAUUGUGUCGUGCUGCCUCCUUAACAACCUCUCCUUCCUCAACUGUUUGGUACACUCCCCUGGCUACUUGUACUGAUAACGCUGGGACUAAUUGAACUCAGGCUGAUUUCUCCUCUUCUGACUGCCCUUCUUCAGGCACAACCAUACCUUCUGGCAAUGAAAUUGGAUUUAUCCCCGCUCGAUUUCUUUCUUGUAGUCAUCGCCGGACCUGAGCUCUUCCCCCUAAAUCCUUUCUAUUGCGGCUUUCGAGCUACUCGCUACUAUAGUGACAAAAGUCCAGUUGACGUAGCGUAGGCGGAAGAAGAUCGGACUAAGUUCCUUUCCCCAUUCUUGGGUGGGUUAGAAGCAUUAGAAGAUCUUCCCCAUCCCUAUUGGAAUGAAUGCUUGAAUAGUCCUUUCCCCUUUGGCCAAGCUAGUAAAGUACCUCAUUCUAUCAUUUCUUACUUGACUUUUUUGACUGUAGCGGUUACGGCUAGACUACUUUGCUCAGCCACUCCUUGCUUCAUUUUUGAAUGGAAAAGAAAGGCUAUUUUCAGUUACGGGCUUAUGGAUCUAGUGGAUCGUCCCAGUAAAGUACUACAACUACUAACUACUUAGUUAUCGUCACUGGCUGCAGAUCUGGCUUGGCUCGAUAGGCUAUGGAAUAAACGGAUGGAGGCAGACUUGCUUGACCCUAGCCCUAGCUUCUGAAACAAGAGAACGGACCCCCCUACUAACAGGAAGGGUAAAGGGCUACUUUCACUCUACUCUUUCCAUUUCAAUGCUAGCUCGAUUGCAGCUAUCUUGCUCGGACUACUAAUGGACUAUCACAAACGAAGUGAGGGAUUGGACGACGGACGGGACAACUAGCUAAUUAGGGGGACGGAAGGACAGAGAGAACUCUUCAACGCCUUAAAUUACAAAGAUAAUAAUAGAAAUCGUUCAGUACGCUAAUCUUGACUCUUUCCAUUUAUUUUCGAUUGAGAAAGCAAGGCCCCAUUGAGCUUAGCCUAGAGCAGAUCGAAAUGGUCUCGCGAAGCCGGGAACCCCUAGCCGAAGAGACUUCCCUUUCCUGGGGGAUUGGUCUCCCUCUCUUAGUAGGAGGUUUACUAUGUCCACAACAAUUUGUGUAAUAUAAAUUCAAGGCUCGUCGAGACCUCGACGUUUUGGAUUUCUUCCUAGGUGCAGGCCUGUCCUUCUUCUUAUUGUAGUUGAUUGAAUAAGGCUUCCCCGCUUCUUCUUUGUUCAUUCGUAAAUCGCGUCUUUUUAAGCCAGGUCAAAACGAUUCGAUUUUUAUCUGAGUCUACGGAGAUAAAUCGCUCUUUAAGCGAAAAUCCCCGGUUUUCUAAAACCUUCUCGUGAUGAUCUCACUCCACGGAGGGAAAAGGUUUGUUAAUUCAUUCAAAAGACGGGCUUUCCUAGCUCAUAUAGUGGAAAGCGCCCUUCCCACAUCGAUCCCUCGAGGUGGAAGAAUGAUGAAACCUGCCAAGUAAUAUAGUAGUCAUGCCUUUCCCAAUCCUCUAUCGAAGGGAACCCCUCAGAGGGUGAAAGAGGUGGCUAACUUUCCUUGCCCCAGGGAGCUUCUUUGUUUAUGUAACUAAGCGGGCAGGUCUCUGGAGUGUGCUUCUAUCGCCCGAGCAAGAGAAGGGCUGCAGAUGAGCUAUCAAGUCGUGCAUUUCUCCCGAAAGUGAGGAGAAUGCCCCGGAUAUCCUCAUAGGUGUCGGGUUUACCAGGCUAAGGUAACUCUUAAAUUGUAGUUAGCGGGUUUCCCUCCUUCCAUAGCAUCUUGCUUUCCUGGGUAACUAUUCGACAGACGAAACCCCUCGGUUUUCUUCUUAUCUUAAAGUAGCUUUCCUUUCGGGUUUGACCAAGAUUCUUCCCUAGGGUGCUAGUUUGUUUAUGUCACUAAGCGUGAUAGCUUAACCGCGCUUCUAGCUCUAUCUCUAAAAGGAAUGAAUUCUUAAACCCCAGACAAGUACUGGUUUAAGUUCCGCCAUCCCCUCUCCCAGUUGCUAUGAAUCGAGAGAGCCCAGUCGCUCCUCCUGCCUAAGGGCAUAAAAAGAGGCAUAACUCGAGUGAUGCCUCUUCUAGUAGAUCCAAUCCAGACAGAUCUAGUAUACGUACAAGAAUCAGAAGGGGUCUUAUCCGUAGGUGAGGGGAUUGUGCUACUUGCUUUUCUCUUAGUUGAAUUAUGGGUCUUUCUCUUUUUCUUUCCUUUCUUGUUCCGUCCUGCGCUAAGCAAGCGAGUCUUUCAUUCCUUGCUCAAGUAAGUGAGGACAAGCCCCUUUCGUUUAUCUGGAUCUGCCUAUCCGGGGACUUCCCCAACAACCUCUUCUGGUAAACAAUAUCUUAUGUACUCAGACGGGCCGCUCUACUCCCUGUGUUCUUUCAACGUAGCAAGGAGGCCUAAGACGAAGAAACGCAGUUGCUCGAUUGAAAGGUGAGGACGCAGAACUUCCCUUUUGGCUUUCUUCCUCCCUGAACUGAAUAAGUAAGGCCCCGUUUUUUAUAAUAAAAAAAAGAAAGGGCGAAGCGCCCAUUUGAAGUGGCGAAGGCCUAUGAUAUAGUAAGAAAGAAAGUACGUUAAGGUUACGAAGUAAGGUCAGCUGGUUAAGGAAAGCUCAGGUUAUGAAAUAGCUUAGCCAUUAAUUAAGUAGUAGUGAGGCGUCGGUACGGAGCCUUCCACUGUGGACCGAUACUACGCAAAGGUAGAACACCAUAGAAACUUCGCUGACUUUAUAAUAAACAACCUUGAUUUCGCUACGCUCAAUAAGAACCCGGAAUAGCGGAAAUCGGUUCGUGUUCCGCUUCCAAACAAAGUCAGUCGUCUUUGCCCAAGUGUGAACUGCGGACGACUCUCCAGUGGUUCCAUUCCUUCUUACUUUACUUCUGGGUCAACCCAACCCGAAUGGGAAGAAGAGGGUCAGCCAAACAGCGGUCCACUUUGUACAUUUGCUGAGGCAGACCAAUCGGGCAUUUUAUAAAAGGGAAGGGAACUUUUAUCACCGAAGGAGGCAGUAGAAAUGAAGGAGGCGGGAAGCUACCGCUUCUAGAAUGCAAGCUUAUCCUUGACUUUUUUUAGAGCGUACCGCUAUUGAAAAAAAGGUUUAUGGAUGGAGUGACAAAUGAUUACGGUUGCGGAAACCGGAUAAAGUCGGGAACCGUCGGUUACCUUUUGAAUCAAAGUAGCGCCGAGUACUUCGACUACAGGGGGGAGGGAAGCUUCGUAGACAGCUUCGCGUCCUCGCCGCUUCUUUCUGGCGACUAGCUUUUCAAGUGGGUGGCUUGGUAAGCAAGCUACCUUCAGCAUCGGUAAAAAUCCCUAUCAAUAAUAGGCCGGAAUGGUGGGGAAGGAGGCCCCCCUACUUCAAUGGAAAGGGGGGAAUCGCCGUUUCACAGCCGCUCCUCUACAACUAACUACCUUUCGCCCAACAUGAUCACGAACGAAGACAGAGAAUUGCGUAGAUAGAAGGACGAAACCAACCCACUUGUCCUGAUCGGAACGAUUGAAGAAAGAAAGAGAAUGGUGGCCCCUUUCGCCCAGGGGGCAUCGUCGGAGAACUAUGUCGGGGACAGGGGGUGAGAACCUUCCGUUGGUUACGCCCUUUAAGUGUUGGUUCUUUCUUAGAUAUGGAGAUAGAUCCAGAUAGAUAUAUUGAUAAAUUGAUAUUAUUGAUCUGGUUUCAAGAUCUAUGAACAAGAGAGAUCCCUAAAGAUCCAUUUGAUAAAAGAGAUGAAUAGAUAGGGCGGAGCCGGCUGAAGGAAGGGCGCUUACGCGCCCCUGCAAUCUUUCUAAAGCAAGAAGCGAGAAAGUUUACUUUGAGAAAGAAGCUCCUUAGCACAAGCACUAAGUAAGAAACCUACCUUUUGACAACCUUACUAAUAGUAAGGGGAAAGCUCAAGCAUGCGAAGAAAGCUCGAAGAGCUUCCCUUAUAUAUAUAUUAGAAAGGUUUGUAGAAAGGGGCUUCUUUUAAUACAAUACCCCAACCAUCGAG